GCAUGGUCUUAGCUUGCUAAGGCUGAUGGCGACCGGCGCACGGGUGAGUAACACGUAUCCAACCUGCCGUCUACUCUUGGCCAGCCUUCUGAAAGGAAGAUUAAUCCAGGAUGGCAUCAUGAGUUCACAUGUCCGCAUGAUUAAAGGUAUUUUCCGGUAGACGAUGGGGAUGCGUUCCAUUAGAUAGUAAGCGGGGUAACGGCCCACCUAGUCAACGAUGGAUAGGGGUUCUGAGAGGAAGGUCCCCCACAUUGGAACUGAGACACGGUCCAAACUCCUACGGGAGGCAGCAGUGAGGAAUAUUGGUCAAUGGGCGAUGGCCUGAACCAGCCAAGUAGCGUGAAGGAUGACUGCCCUAUGGGUUGUAAACUUCUUUUAUAAAGGAAUAAAGUCGGGUAUGCAUACCCGUUUGCAUGUACUUUAUGAAUAAGGAUCGGCUAACUCCGUGCCAGCAGCCGCGGUAAUACGGAGGAUCCGAGCGUUAUCCGGAUUUAUUGGGUUUAAAGGGAGCGUAGAUGGAUGUUUAAGUCAGUUGUGAAAGUUUGCGGCUCAACCGUAAAAUUGCAGUUGAUACUGGAUGUCUUGAGUGCAGUUGAGGCAGGCGGAAUUCGUGGUGUAGCGGUGAAAUGCUUAGAUAUCACGAAGAACUCCGAUUGCGAAGG
Molecule: ribosomal RNA, 662 nt
Filed under: uncultured Bacteroidales bacterium
Lineage: Bacteria; Pseudomonadati; Bacteroidota; Bacteroidia; Bacteroidales
Description: bacterial SSU rRNA
Rfam family: Bacterial small subunit ribosomal RNA
Source: RNAcentral